RNAcentral lists this ribosomal RNA (305 nucleotides) under uncultured bacterium. RNAcentral describes it as "bacterial SSU rRNA". It matches the Rfam family "Bacterial small subunit ribosomal RNA", at positions 337 to 660 of the family's 1533-position model. The record is from RNAcentral.
ACCUACGGGGGGCAGCAGUGGGGGAUAUUGCACAAUGGGGGGAACCCUGAUGCAGCGACGCCGCGUGGGUGAAGAAGCGCCUCGGCGCGUAAAGCCCUGUCAGCAGGGAAGAAAAUGACGGUACCUGAAGAAGAAGCCCCGGCUAACUACGUGCCAGCAGCCGCGGUAAUACGGAGGAUGCGAGCGUUAUUCGGAUUUAUUGGGUUUAAAGGGUGCGUAGGCGGACUGGAAAGUCAGCGGUAAAAUCGAGAGGCUCAACCUCUUUCCGCCGUUGAAACUGUCGGUCUUGAGUGGGCGAGAAGUAU